UUCGUUUGACUACAAAGUGAGUGCCAGUCGUGCCUGAACUCUUUCAUAUUUCCUUCUUUCUUUCUUCUUCCUCUUCGCAUCCACUUUUCCAAUUUUCCAAUCGUUUUCCUUGUUCCAAGAAUAAAAUAAAUUGAUUUCAAGAAAUUGGUGACAGCGGAAGAAGACGAUGAUGUCGGAGGGCAACCGUUCUUUUUCUCAUGCUCUCCUUUUUUUCUUCAGUUAUCCAUUCUAUAAACCCACAUUACCCAUACUCGUAAUUUCUAUCCGAUGAUCAAUAGUACAUAAACAUUCGCUGUACAUCUCACGCCACCUAGCCUGCUGUUUCCCUCUUCUUUUUCCCUUCUUGAUCCAACGCUUCACUUAACUUCUCCUCUACCGCCUCUGUUUCUUAAAACCGAAGCCUCUCACCCCAAAUAUCAACUUAUAUGCCCCACUCCCACUAAAGCGAAGACUUGAAAUAUUCUUUGGUUUGAUCUCAACUAAUCAAGCGUCCAGAAUCUUGAAGCAAAGCAGAGAAAUAACGAAUGAUUAUCAUCGUGGUUUUCCACUUUUUUCUUCGACAUCUUUGCUUUUACCCAAAUCGACGCCUCUCACAGCUCCUGCGCAGGCAAUGUCUUAACCAAAGGAGCUGUCACAUGUUAUGGGAAAGACAGAUAAAAUUUUUUGUUUAUAUUCAGUUCUGGGUAUGUUUCGUUGCUGUUAUUCCUUUUCAAUUUGAAUUUUCUGAUUGUGAUUGUAAGAUACAAUUGAGUGAUACUAAAUUCUUAUUGUAACUUCCCAUUCUCUGUCAUCUGAGUGAUGGAACUACUCAUGGAAGAACACACACUGAACCACAAUUCUCAGGGAGGAUCAUCAUUGCCCUCAUACACAAAGAACAAAAGCUUUUAUGUAUAUGAAUGAAUAAUGAUUCAGUCAAAAGUAGCAAAAUAAACAAGAAAACAGCUGAUGGAGGAAAUAGUUGGAGAAACUUUUGAGAAGUGCAAGGGUGCUUGCAAUGGCAAUGGAUAAGUCAAGGGUAUCAAACAAAUAUAUAUAUAUAUAUAUAUAUAUAUAUAUAUAUAUAUAUAUAUAUAUAUAUAUAUAUAUAUAUAGUUUCUACUAUAAAUAUUGUCUAGAAGAGUGUUUCAAAUUCAGUUAGUUCUUUUUUUUGAAUCCUCCAAAUUCUGAUGAGAACUAUAUCCAUACUACAUCAUUGUUCUCGUAGCUUGAAAUCUUGAGGAGCUGUCAUCACAUGUUAUGGGAAAGACAGAGAAAUUAUUUUCUUUUACCAAUUAUAUUCAUAUUUAGUCCAAAGUAUGUCAUCUCCUUCUGCUCUUAUUCUUUUUCAAUUCAAUUUUCUUAUCUAUGCAUUUUAAUUUUGAAGCAUUCUACUUUUAAAAACCUCAAUUUUAAAUUGAAUUUUUAAAUUUUACAUUGUACUUUGACUUUUUUUUCAGUAACAUCAAACUAUUUUUUUUACUUUUAAAAAAACUUCCAGUUAAAGAAUCCUACUUUCAGAAACAUCCAUUGUACAUUGAAUUUUCAAAAAUCAUCCCAUUUUCAGCAUUCUACUUUAAUUUUUCUUUCUAUAACAUCACUGAAACAUAAGACGUAACUUUUCUCAUCUAUAUAUUUUACUUUUAAAAUUUUUCCAAUGAAAGCAUUUUAUUUACGAAAACUUCCAUUUUACAUUCAUUUUAUAAAAAUCAUCCUAUUUUUUGCAUUUUAUUUUCUUAUUUUUCUUUCUAUAGCAUUAUUAAAACAUCAAAAUUUCUUUUUUUCUCAUCUAUGCAUUUUACUUUGAAAAAACUUCCAAUUAAAGCAUUCUACUCUAAAAAAUAUUCAUUUUACAUUAAAUUUUCAGAAAUCAUCAUAUUUUAGCAUUGUACUUUCACUUUUCUUUCUAUAACAUUAUUGAAACAUCAAACUUCUCUUUUUCACAUAUGUGCAUUUUACUUUGAAAAAGUUUCCAAUUAAAGCAUCCUACUUUAAAAAACAUCACUUUAACAUUGAAAUUUUCAAAAAUCAUCCUAUUUAUAGCAUUCUACUUUCACUUUUCUUUCUGUAACAUUAUUGAAACAUAAAACUUCUCUUUUUCUCAAUUAUGCAUUUUACUUUGAAAAAAAUUCCAAUUAAAGCAUUCUACUUUGCAUAUCAUCCAUUGGACUUUGAAUUUUCAAAAAUCAUCUGAUUUUUAGCAUUGUACUCCAACUUCAUCCAUUUUACAUUGCAUUUUUAAAAAUCAUUCCAUUUUUAGCAAUGUACUUUAACAUUUUUUAUCUAUAAAAUCAUUGAAACAUCAAACUUUUUUUUUGUUUUUCAUUUAUACGUUUUACUUUGAAAAAAACAUCCAAUUAAAGAAUCCUACUUUCAAAAACAUCCAUUUUACAUUGAAUUUUCAAAAAUCAUCCAAAUUUUUAGCAUUGUAUUUUAACUUUUCUUUUUGUAACAUAAUUAAAACAUUAAACUAUUUUUUUAUCUAUGUAUUUUGCUUUGAAACAACUUCUAUCUAAAGCAUUCUACUUUAAGAACCAUCCGUUUAAUGUUGAAUUUUCAAAAAUCAUCGUAUUUUUAGCAUUGUAAUUUAACUUUUCUUUUUGUAACGUCAUUAAAACAUCAAACUUCUCUUUUUCUCAUCUAUGCAUUUGACUUUGAAUUUUUUUAUAAUUCAAGCAUUCUACUUUCAAAAUAAUCGUUUUUACAUUCAAUUUUCUAAAAUCAUCCCAUUUUUAGCAUUGUAUUGUAACUUCUCUUUCUUUAACGUUAUUGAAACAUCAAACCUUUUUUUCUCAUCUAUGCAUUUUAUCUUGAAAAAUUUCCCAUUAAAGCAUUAUACUUUCAAAAUCAUCCAUUUUACGUUGAAUUUUCAAUCAGAUCAUUUUAUUUCAAAAACUUCUAUUUUACAUUUGAUUUUCAAAAAUCAUCCUGUUUUGGCAUUCUACUUUAAUUUUUUCUUUAUGUAACAUCAUUGAAACAUCAAACUUCUCUUUUUCACAUCUAUGCAUUUUACUUUGAAAAAAACUUACAAUUAUAGUAUUGUACUUUCAAAAAUUUCCAGUUUACAUUCAAUUUUCAAAAAUCAUUCCAUUUUUAGCAUUGCAUUUUAACUUUGUCUUUAUGUAAAUCAUUGAAACAUCAAACUUUUCAUUUCUCAUCUAUGCAUUUUACUUUGAAAAAAUUUUCAAAUAAAGCAUUUUAUUUUUAAAAACUUCCAUUUUACAUUUGAUUUUCAAAAAUCCUCUAUUUUUUAGCAUUAUACUUUCACUUUUGUUUUUGUAACCUUAUUCAAAUAUCACACAUCUCUUUUUCUUAUCUAUGCAUAUUACUUUAACAAAACUUCCUAUCAAAGCAUUUUAUUUUCAAAAGCUUCCAUUUUACACUGAAUUUUCAAAAAUCAUUCAUUUUUAGCAUUGUGCUCUAACUUGUUUCUCAUUUUCUCAUCUAUGCAUUUUACUUUGAAAAAAUUUACAAAUAAAUCAUUUUACUUUCAAAAUCUUACAUUUUAGAUUUAAUUCUCAAAAAUCAUCCCAUUUUUAGCAUUGCACUUUAAUUUUUUCUUUAUGUAACAUCGUUAAAACAUCAACAUUCUCAUUUCUCAUCUUUGCAUUUUACUUUGAAAGAACUUUCAAUCAAAGCACUUUAUUUUCAAAAACUUCCAUUUUACAUUCGAUCUUCAAAAAUUAUCUCAUUUUUAGCAUUAUACUUUCACUUUUGUUUCUGUAACCUCAUUGAAACACCACACAUCUCUUUUUCUCCUCUAUGCGUAUUACUUUGAAAAAACUUCCUAUCAAAGCAUUUUAUUUUCAAAAGCUUUCAUUUGACAUUGAAUUUUCAAAAAUAUCCAUUUGUAACAUUGUGCUCUAACUUGUUAACUUCUCUUUUUCUCAUCUAUGCAUUUAACUUUGAAAAAUUUCCAAUUAAAGCAUUCUACUCUCAAAAUUCUCCAUUUUAUAUUGAGUUUUAAAAAAUUAUCCAUUUUUUGGCAUUGUACUUUAACUUUCCUUUCUGUAACAAUAUUGAAACAUCAAGCUUCUCUUUUUCUCAUCUAUGCAUUUUACUUUGAAAAAUUUCCAAUUAAAGCAUUCUACUUUUAAAAUCAUCCAUUUUACAUUGAAUUUUCAAAAAUCAUCUCAUUUAUAGCAUUCUACUUUCACUUUUUUUAUGUAACAUCAAACUUCUCUUUUUCUCAUCUAUGCAUUUUACUUUGAAAAAAACUCAUAAUCAAAGCAUUUUAUUUUCAAAAACUUCCAUUUUACUUUUAAAUUUUAAAAAAUAAUCCCAUUUUUAGCAUUAUACUUUCACUUUUGUUUCUGCAUAUUAACUUUUUAUUAAUGUAACAUCUUUGAAACAUCAAACUUCUCAUUUCUCAUCUAUGCAUUUUAUUUUCGAAAAACUUUCAAUCAAAACAUUUUAUUUUUAAAAUCAUCCCAUUUUUAGCAUUCUACUUUGAAAAAACAUUCAAUCAAAACACAUUAUUUAUAAACAUACAUGCAUUAUACUUUGAAAAAAUAUCCAGUUAUAGCAUUCUACUUUAAGUUUUCCUAUUAUUAACACAUUGUAUUUUAGAAAAUCUUUCCAUUUUUAGGAUUUUACUUUCAGUUUUCUUUUCGUUAUUUUAUUGAAACAUUAAAAAAAUUCUCAUCUAUGUAUUUUACUUUGAAUUUUUUUCCAUACAUAGCAUUUUACUUUCAAUUGUCUCAUAUUAAGAACUUUGCAUUUUCAAAAUUCAUCCUUAUAUUAGCAUUAUACUUUUACUCUUCUUUCUUUUACAACAUUGUAACAUCAAACUUUGAAAAAUCUUCCUAUUAUUAGCACAUGCCAUUUUUUAAUAUCAUUUAGUAUUUAGCAUUGUACUUUUACUUUUCUUUCUAUCACAACAUUGAAACGUCACACUUUUUUCUCAUCUAUGUAUUAAAACAUCAAAAUUUCUUUUUUUCUCAUCUAUGCAUUUUCAAAAACCAUCCUAUUAUCAGCACAUUGCAUUUUUAAAAAUCGACACGUUUUUAGCGUUGUACUUUUGUUUUUAGUUUUGUUUCAACUUACAACAAGAAACAUUAAACUUCUUUUUUUCAUCUACUCAUUUUACUUUGAAAUAUCACCACAUUAAAAGUUUCCACUUAGUUUUUAUUUUUAUUUUUAACCCAUUGCAUUUUUAAAACUCGUCCUAUUUUUAGCAUCGCUCUCUUACUUUUCUUUCUGAUACAACAUUCAAACAUCAAACUUUUUUUCUCAUUUAUGCAAUUUACUUUGAAAAUUCAUUCAUUUAUCGCAUUCUACUUUCAGUUUUCUAAAUAUUCACAUUUUAUUUUUAAAAAUCAACCCAUUUUUAGCGUAAUGUUUUAAGUUUCCUUUGUGUUAAAACAUUAAAACAUAUCAUUAUGCUUUCAGAAAUUAUCCAUUUAAACAUUGCUUUCUUUUCUAUUACAACAAUGAAACAUCAAACUUUGAAAAAUCUUCUAUAUAUAGAGAAACUUUCAGUUUUCUGACUAUUCUUAGCACAUUGCAAUUUAAAAAUCAUCCCAUUUUUAGCAUUUUAUUCUCACUUGUCUUUCUGUAACAACAAUGAAACGUGAAACUUCUUUUUGCUCAUUUAUGCAUUUACUUUGAAAAAUCUUCCAAGUAUAGCAUCAUACUUUUUGUUUUAUUUUUUAUUAGUACACUUUAUUUUCAAAAAUCAUCCCAUUUUUAGCAUUGUGCUUUCACUUUCCUUUCUGUAACAACAUUGAAUCAUCAAACUUUUUUUUUUCUCAUCUAUGUAUUUUGUUUUGGAAAAUCAUCCAUUUAUAGCAUUCUACUUCCAAUUUUCUAAGUAUUAACACAUUGCUUUUUUAAAAAUCAUCCUCUUUUUAUCAUUGUGCUUUCACUUUUCUUUUCUGUUACAACAUUAAAACAUCAUUUUUUUUCCGAUUAAGCAUUUUACUUUGAAUAUUCAUCACAUUAUAGCUUUCUACUUCCAGUUUUCUAAAUAUUAAACACAAUGCAUUUUUAAAGAUCAUCCUGUAUUAACAUUGUGCUUUCACUUAGCUUUCUGUUAGAACUUAGAACAUACAAACAUUAAACUUUUUUUCCAUCUAUGCAAAUUACUUUGAAAAAUCAUGCAUUUAUACCAUUCUACUAUUAGUUUUUUUUUUAAAAUAUUUACACAUACUUUUCAAUGUGAUGAUUUUUCAAAGUAAUUUACAUAGAUGAGAAAAAAAAGUUCGAUGUUUCAAUAUUGUAAUGUGUAAAUGGGAUAUUCCAUUUUGAAAAUUCAUCUAAUUUUUAGCAUUGUACUUUCAUUUUUCUUUUUGUUACAACAUUAAAACCUCAAAACUUCAUUUUUCUCAUCUAUGUCAUUUCAUUUUGAAUUAACAUGAACCAUUCAAGUGGAUGCUAAGAAUGUACGAAUAAUAGAAAAAUAAAUUUAGAAAUUUUAUUAUUAGUGGACACGUAGUGUAAGGAUAUGGAUAAUGAGUUUGUUUAGGGAUACGUUAGGAUUGGAAUGAUGACAAAAAGUGUAUUACAUAGCAAAAAGAUAAAUGACUACAAGAUUGGAUAUUUGUACUAAUAAGUAACAUUUGAAUAUUCAAGCAUCCUAUAUGUAUAUGUGCUCUAUAUGUAUAUGUGCUUUGAGGUUGAGAAUAUAAUUAGCAUGAUGAGGUCAAGGAUUGAGGGUAUGCCGGGUAGGAAUGUAUCAUAAACUUAAGAAUAUUGGUAAGUCGAGGAUUAUGUAAGCCUUGUGUGUCAUAAUUUGAAUGGUUAGACCAGAGGAGUAUGAUUUUUCUACUUUGAUGUUAAAUACUUCAUUGAAAAAGCAUGAACUAGAUUUAGUCGUAUGUGCAUGAGAUAUAAUGAUCACUUUAGUAUGAAUGAUAAUACAUGAUACAUAUUAGGACAAUGUUAAGUUUUUGUUCUCUUAUUAUUAGCAUAUUUCAUUUUAGAAAAUCAUCUAAUUUUUAACAAUUUACUUUUGUCUUUCUGUCACUUUGAAACAUGAAACUUCUUUUUUCUCAUCUAUACAUUUUAUUUUGAAUUUUAGCAUUCUAUUUUCAUUUUUCUUAUUAGCACAUUGCAUUUUUAAAAAUCAUCUCAUUUUCACAGUUGUACUCACUUUCCUUUUUUCCUACAACAUUGAAUAAUCAAACUUUUUUUUUUCUCAUGCAUAUCCUUUACUUUGAAAAAUCAUUACAUUAUAACAUUCUACUUUCAGUUUUCUUAUAACAAAAUUACAAAAAUGGUCCCUGAGGUAUAGUGGAAAUUGCCACUUUGGUCCAAAAAGUUUAGAGUUGCGGUUUUAGUCCAAAUAUUUUUAAACAUAUUUAAAAUUACAAAUUUGGCCUUUGUUAUUUUAUUUUUUUAUUUGUUUUAUUAAGUUUGUAAUUUCUCAUUAAAAAUUAAACAUAUUCUACAUUCAAUUUUCAUAUGAGAAAAUUGCAAAACUUUGUACUUUCUCAGUUGGAGACAACGAGGAAGAUGACGACCUAAACAUCAUCUGGAAAUCAUUUGAACCUAAACGUCACCCACUUCUUUUUCCGGUGAAACCCUAAACUAGACAAAGAUGACAACGCCGUUUGAAACCGUAACCUUAGCCUCGUCCUAAACCUGACCCCAACGUGGUUGUCGAACGACGACCACAUUCCUCUUUCUUUAGAAAUUUGUUCUUUUUAAAUCCUAAUAUUCUUCCUCGUACCUCAUCAAUUUUGUGAUUUAGUCCACGGAAGAAUUUGUAAAUUCUAUUAGUCUCUAAUAUGCGUUUUCCAUCUACGUAAAAGUAUUGAGAAUGUCCAAUUGUUUCUGGUAGCGAUUUAAGGUUUAAGUUCACCUUGUCAAAGAUCAUGUAGGAUACCUUUGAUUUUGAAUAAGGUGAAUGUAUUUCUUGGUUUGAAAAUGUGUCUUGUGCUGCUUCCCAGAUUUCAAAGGCUGUUUCACCAACUUUAGGUGUCAUAAUAUUUAGGAGCCAAGAUAGUACCAUAUUCUAUUUAAAUCCUGGACGUUUCUCUUUUGGUUGAACAAGAUCACUUGAUAGGUAAUCUUAUUUUCCUCUUAUAAAAAUCGAACCAGUGUGACCAUAAAUUGUAAUAUCACUCACUCAUUCAGCUUGUAAGCUUGUAACCGAUGGUAAGAAUGAUAUAGUCAUAAUUUGGAUUUGACUGAAUUGGAGGUGGGUUCUCCGAUAAAGAUUCAGAGGUUACUUUGUUGACUAGGGCAGUAGGGAUAUCUCCGAAUCUGAUUCCAGUAAUGACGACGACAAAGAAAAAACACGAAGACAUAUUGAGUAAGGUUGGGUCAAGAUGAAACCAUCAAGAAACCGAUAAUAGUACCGAGAAUAAGAAUCGAAUUAAAAAUACAUUGAACUAGAAGGAUAUAAUUAUAAAGGAAUAACUAGGUGAUUCGUGUUUAGAGUUGAUGGUUAUAUGAGAUUAUGGAAAUUUUUCCAUAGUGGAAGUUGGUUAUUGAAACUUACAUGUGAGUUAGAAACUUUAAUGCAAGGAAGGUGUUCAAUGAGUGUAUCUUGAAUUUGAACUUCAUUUCCAUGAAAUUGUUUUUAGUAACAAAGUUUCAAUGAAUUUUUUUGUGAUAUCAUUGGCUAAGUCUCGGUGAUUUUGACGCCUCCUCGUCACAAAAAGACAUUGCAUGCAAGGUUGAACUCUAACACAUUUGGUAGUAACAAAAAUUUGAAAUUGUGAAAUGAGCAUCGGUGGGAUAGUAUCCAAUCGAUUUGUUCACAAAGUAAGGACCAUAGAGAAACAUAGUAUGCAUGUUUAUAACAUGGCAUGACUGAUGUUUAAUUGAAGUGUUUAGUUGAUUACUCGAAACAUUAUACAAUGAAUAAAGUUCAAUUAAUAUGGUGAUUAAAUAAUAAAAGUUUUAUUUAUAUUAAAUAGUUUUGAGACCAUAGUUAACUAGGUUAUUAUUGUGUUUCACUUUGUAUGUUUUACUUCCCGAAUAAUUGGAUUAUUCAAACAUCCACAGUCGAUCGUACUUUUGGAAGUAGCGAAUUAAGACUGUUAUGAACUGGAUUGUAGAUUGUCUAUUGAGAUUAGAAAUAGAAUUGAUAAACACACGCUCAGAGAAUUAUUUCAUGGAUUUUAUCACGAGUAAUUUUGAGACGAUAAUAUAUUAUAUUCUUGAAACAGAGAUAUAUGAGUUGUUUACAAGUCUGUUGUGCAUUGAUAAUACGUAAACACAUCAGUUUCUUGAUGUUAUAAAAUGUAUUGUUGUGCAUGAUUUGAUGAAUGAAUAGUACAAACAUAUAAUUUCAACUUUAUCCGUUCCAUUUGCCUUAACGGGAAAAUCGAUAUAUGUGGGCCCCUCGAUGAUUUGAUGUCGACAUCUAAAGCGCUUGGCCAAGCCUAGACUUAAUUGAUGUGUUCAAGUAGUAGUAUGAUAUCAGUCGUCAUAAAUCAGAGAUAUAUGAGUUGUUGUUUACGAGUCAAUUGUGCAUUGAUAAUACAUAAACGCAUCAGUAACUUGAAACAGAGUUAUAUGAGUUGCUGUUUAUGAGUCAGUUGUGCAUUGAUAAUACGUAAACGCAUCAGUAACUUGAUGUUAUAAAAUGUAUUGUUGUGCAUGAUUUGAUGAGUGAAUAGUACAGACAUAUAAGUUGAAGUUUAUCCGUUCCUUUUGCCUUAACUGGAAAAUCGAUAUAUGUGGGCCCCUCGAUAAUUUAAUGUCGACAACUAAAGUGCUUGGUCAAGCCUAUUGCUCCCAACAACCUUUAACUACCUACAUGAUCCCAACCAACUUGUCACUGAGUCUCCCGACUCUCACAAUGCACUAACACCCAAACAUGUCAAAAAAACUAAUGAUCCGAGACCUAAGAGUCUCAAUAAAAAAACUAUCGGGUCCCACCCAUAUGAAUCAUACAACCAUUGGUUCACGAUACAUCGUGACACCUACUACCCACUAUACGAUAAGCUCACGGUAUUAUGUUGAUAUUACCUUCAUCCCAUCAAUGGCCUGAAGACUCACGACCAACACAACAGGGGCCCAAAGAUAUCUAACCAUCAAUCCACCGACUUGUGGGAACCCAAUGAACAUCCCUCUUAGUGUUAACUGAACACAAAUACGGGUCAUACCCAUCUAUCACGCACAAUUCCUUUCACAAUACAAGCGGCUACCAAUGCAAAAUUUAGGCGAAAACAUGGUCGUACACAACCAGAGAAUGAGAUAGGCGGUUGCACUCUUGUUCCAAUUUAAGGGCUACAAACAAAUUAAGAACCAUGCAAAUAACUCAAGCCAAGUGUUCUCAUGCUAUCUUAUUUAACCGACAGAUAUCACCAAGGGAAAACACAUAACCAACCCUAGAUCUACUACACUCCUUCUUCCUCACAGCCCUUACCCAUUGGAUGUGGUACCAGUUGAUCUAACCGAAAUGACGAACCUCAACCGCUAACAGAAUCAUCCUCAUGAAUGGCCGAAGGCUAAGAACCCAUACCUUGAGUAAAACCGAACAGAUCCCAUCAAUACGCAAAUAGCUCAAUAAAGCUUCCAAAGCCAUGAAAAAUGUUGACAAACUCUGGUCGGGUCAAUCCAAAUACCAACCCCACCGACACGACACGCCAAAAUUGCAUUAUGCACAGAUCCUAAGCCACACCUGAAGAACUCCACAACCUUGCCCCAAUAUUCGAACUUCCAAUAACCAAGAACAUCUGCCAAACUCGAGUCUGCUAUGAAUAAUAAUUUCACAACCAACCAUUGAGGGUACCCAUACCCAGAAACCAAAAUGUACAAUGUACAAACUUUGACGAUAGGCCAACAUAUCCAUUGAAUUCCAACUGAUAUAGCUUGAAACUUUUGAAAAACCUCUGUUAUUGACGAUUAACGACAAGACUAACGAUCGAGAGUGCUUUGACAACUAAUCCAUUGAUCCAAUACACUACUAGACAAACCUAUGAGGGACUAAACAUACCAAACUCUACAACUGAUUGAUUGAUCAGCAACUGCCCAACCUAGACUAUAGAUAUCAAUCUAUACAACAAGCUGACAAAUCCCUCAACAAUCGAUACUAAAUCUGAGUGACCCAACUGCCUCUUGAACUAUUCCUCGAUGUUUCUGAUAGGAACCCCUGGCUACAACGAGCUCCUGUCCAAUAGCUUAUUGCCGCAAAUAUGACUCUUGCAUUCCUGAACACAUACAUCUGAUGACAACUUGCUCUGCACCCCCGUAUUGACCAAAUCCUGAACAAAAGUUUCACCUACCCGAACCACAAAUCCCUAUGGCCCAUUCUUCUGAAACCAUAACUCGAACAGAUCGCUGAUCCUCUAAGCUGAAUAUCUAGCUCUCCCCCACUUAGGGUUCGAAUCACCACCAACUAACGUUGCAAACAAACCAAAACUCAAACCGGCUCACCUAGAUGCAUAACAUCCCUGACCCUUGGGAUAUAUUGUCACACCCCGACCAACGGCGGAAACGUCGGGAUUGCGACUUAAACAUUUGGAUCAUAGUUAACAACAUAUAAGGAAAUAAUAACAGAAUUCAUUCGACAUUACAUUCAUCUGAAGUAUGAAUAUGACAAAACACAUUGUUUAAUAGUCCAAAAGCGUUAUACGCGGAUUUCAAUUUCUUACAACAUAAAAGAGACAAAAGGCUACUAUAGAGCCAACAAUUUAUUCUCAACGUCAAACCCAUCAUCCUCACACAUGGUGAGAGUUCUUCUGGCCACCUUGAACACCUAAAGACACAUACAUUUUGAAAAUACGUCAACAAUAAUGUUGGUGAGCUUUGUAGGUUUUGUUUUGACUCCGAAGAUUUUUAUAAUUCAAAAUAAUGUUUCCAAAGACCAGUAAAUUAUAAAGCAUAUUUUUCUAUUCAACCACUUUUUAAACGAUAAAUAUUAGUCAUUUUCAUGACGAUUUUUAUUCUUUGGAUCUUGUCCGAUACGAAAAGUUAUGUCAUUAGGAGAAGUAUAUAACGUCCUAACACUCGACACUCCCGGUCCCAAAUUGGGAUAAUUGACUCGAUCUAGAUCUAUACAUCUUCGAAUAAAAAUCUUCAAUAUAUUAAAUUGCCCAUAACCGACACUAUUCGUCGCUCCUCCACAAGCCGCAUAGGCACAAUAAACAAGCCACACAGGCACAAUACAAAUAAACAUGGAGGAAUCGAGAUCAUUACUAACGUUUAAAAGCAGUGGUAUAGUAACGAAGAAAGAAACACUUGACGCCUGUUGCCUCGUCAGACGAAGUUGUAGCUAGCAACCACAGAUGGAAAAUAAUCAUUCGUAUAAAUCUUUCCAUAAUAAUUAGAUCUACACCAAAGUUCUUUAUUAUAAAUCUAUGCCGUGUACAUAGACCUACAGUAUAUGAUUCCUCCUGGAUUAACGGUUAUAGAGCUAGGUGUCGAUUCCAAGGUCUGAUCCUUACAAGGGAAAAACACACCAUCAACAAACACUCUCCUUCACCCCUUUCGAUACAUUCCUCCCACAAGCACACACGGGAUACACAAUCCGCAAAAUACAUGGCAAUAAAAAUCCGUCGCUUCCAAUGACCACCAACGCGAGUCUUAAUUUAUUUAUGAUUUUAUUUUUAGCUAGUGCAUAAAGUUAAAUAUUAAAUUUAACCUAGCUUUCGAAUAAAGAGACGGUAGUGACUCAAGUAAUUUCAAUCUACCAACCGAUAGGAAAGACGUUCCGUUAGCGUAGUUGAGUACUUCAUACGUGUCGGUGUUACGUCGGUUGACCGGUUGUCGCUUAAAUCGAAUAUUUUUGUAUUUUUAAUAUUUACUUCAUGUUGAAAACAUAUUAUUUUCGUUUGCAAGUAAACUUUAGUCUUAAAAAUACAUACACAUUAUUUUUCGAUAAGAUUUUGUAUCAUACCAUAGUAAAUAACUACUUGUGCUUUAUUAUGAUACUCUUGUUAUUAUUAUUUUAUCAUCUCGUUUAGUUCUUUACUAUUAAUACUUGGUGAAUAAUAAACUUAAUUCCCUAGUAUACACAAGUCAUAGAGAUAUGCCUAUUAUGACAAGUUAAAAGUGUUCAUCUAUCAAGAUUUCGACACAAGUUCUUAACGAUGCCUUUAUUUAUUCCGACGAUUAAUAUAACACUAGAUUACUCUUAUCUAACAUUUUUGUUAACACAAGUGCUUGUAAAUAAGUCUUAACAUUUUAUAAAAUUCUUGUGUAUAACCAUUACUAAUCAGUAUCUUUUUAACAAACUUUAUUUGUAAAAAAAAGAAAUUUAGUGUUUAUAAUAAACAUUCUCUAACAAUUUUGUAUCUAUCACUACUAUGCAUGCAUGUAACACAUAAAUUUUAGCCAUAUUAAUAUAUCAAAAUACUCGGGUACGCGUCUCCCCCCAAAUAAGUGUAAAUGUAAAAACGGGGCCAUAAAGACUCACAUUUGGAGCGUGAUUCUCGAGUUUAGACGGGAGGAUUCGGUGAGGUUUGUGCUUCGUUCAAGACCAGAUACCUUCACCGACAAUAAACGAAUCUAGUUUUAGAUUAUUGAACUUCACUAAGGUGUUCAAAACAGCAAGUAUUUCAGAUUUUUUUAAGGUGAAAUAGACUCACCCAAAACAACUACAGGGGCUGUCGACAGAAAAAUGGGUUGGGCAGUGGUGUUUCCGGCGGCUUCCUCGCCCCCUUUUCUUCCUGUUUUCGCAGCAGCACUUGAGGGGGUAAUUGAGCAGGAAAACAAACGACUUCAGGGGUAUAAUCGGCACAUUUGCUUCCCGAAAUCACAGUAGAAAACACCUCCGAUGGAGGUGUUCUUGAUGAACUUCGAACAAGAGAGAGGAGGUAGAGAGAAAAGAGGUUUGAGGCUGAUCUUUUAUGGGUUAAAGGUCUCUAAUAGUUCCCCUUUUAUACUCUCUUAAAAGCUAUCUUCUAUCCUCCAGGGUGUACCUUUGGCCAUUUUUAGAAGUAACUCUAUUCUCAAAUAAAGGCAUGGGUUUGAAUGGAUGAGAGAGAUGUGAGAGAGAGAGAGAGAGAGAUAGCACGUGAGUUGCAGCCUUCUCAAAGAAGUAACUCUAUUCUCAAAGAAGGAGUGUGCAGCCUUCUCAAAGUACUCUCUUGCCCUUCCCUCCAUAAUGAUUGGUACUUCUUUGUUUACUCAUAAAAGUUACUUUACGCCACCUUACCUAUAUUUGUACUAUGAAGAAUGAUUUUUGUGGGGGAAAUUAAUGCAUGGACAACCCAUAUCGAGUAAGGAGUGAGGAAUGAUACACAUAGGUGUUGACUUUGGCUUUAGUCCCUAGUUCUAGUAGUAUUAUAAGUACUAGACUUUAAAUGGAUUGUUAUAUAUCAAAAGGUAGGAUUUGUGUAUUCAUGAUGUCUAAAUUUCGAGACUAUACCCAUUCAUAUACAAACAUGUAUCCUAUACUUUAUUUUAAUUUGUUACACCCUUGUCAUAUAUUAUGAUAAGGUUUACUUGUAGUUUAUUAUUACGUAUAAUACUUACAAGGACUUUCAUAUCUUUAUAGAUAAGACGUAUUUCACUACAUAUACAUAUUUGGAUAUAUCUUAUUGAUUUUUUUAGCAUAUAACCGGUCGCAUUCCAAUAAUAAUAUAUAUUAAACGAUUCUUAUUGUUAUAAAUAUAUAAUUAUUUUUGUAAGAACAUCGUACAUUAAGUCCUCCAUCACAAUUAGUUAUGGUCGUUAUACGGAGAACCUCGACCUAAUUUUUAUGAUUGUUACAUAUAUAACACAACACAAGAUGAUCUUCUAAUUAAGGACCAAGCAAACUCCAAGCGCUUUCAAAUCUUAGAUGGAAACCUUGCGAACUCUCCAAUCAUGGCUACCUCUAAUAUCAAGAAUUCCAUGCAGAUGCACAAGCAAAAACACUGACUUCUUAUCUAACAAAAUGGAUUACUACACUCCUCGCAUGUAAACCCCAACCAUCAAUUCUUCGCAAGAACCAUUCAUAAAUAUAAAAGGAAUUAUUUUCCUAGUCGGGAUACAUCAGAUACAACAAAAGUUGUCGCUCUCGAUUCACUUCCCUGAUCGCCUGAAACCCUCAUCUAGCACCUGACCUGCCUAUAUCCCAAGAAAACAGACCCUUGAUCUCAUCACAAGGAAACCAUGCCACACGAAUCCUCUUGUGCAUUCCCACAUUGCCGUACUGCCACCAAAACCGCAACCAUCUAUCCCCAUGUUGGGUCUACAUCCCAACUCUGAAAAUCACAUGUCUGAUUUCUCUCUCCUCUAAACACGGAACCUGGAAGUACACAACCUCUAUCGAAGAUAGUGACAUUCCAAUCCAUUUGCCAACCACUCAGUCUCUGGUUGCAAUCCUCAAGCUGAUCAUAAUAAUCACUUCUUUCUUGAGUCUUGCGACUCAACUGACACUACCAUCGAGCAAGGCCCUCGAGACCUCAAAAUCAACCAACUCACCUAGGUCUGCACCAUUCCAAACUGCCAUGGCCACUAAAUCCCAAACAGUCACCAGACUCAUCCUCAUCCUGAACAACCAUAACCAAAAGAUCGACAAAUACAGAAACACCGUCACGAAUCAUGGUACCAACCAUGCCAUCUACCCUAAACCAGCUCCUUAGAAUCCUCGUGAAUUCCCUCAAUUCGAGUAUGGAUCCGGUGAUUCUAGAAGUAAGGGCUCAAUACUACAUUCCACACAUAUCCAUACUUUCCUUAAGAAUUAUCCUAAGUCCUCUAAGUCACCUACUCAUAAUAAUACUGAAACAUCCCAAAAAUAUAGUCCAAAAUUUUCUUUUUAAAAUCAUUUACCAAAGACCAUAAUCCAUCAAUAUCAUAAUAAAAUCAUCAAACAUGUCUCCAAAACAUCAUAUCCAAUUACUGUAUCAAAACCAUAUGAAAAUAUCAGAGUCUAAAAACAUCCCAGGCUAAAACUGUGGUAUGUGCCAUGCAGUCAUCCCGAGCUCUUCCCCUUACUAGCGGAAGUACCUGAAACCAAAACUGAAAACUUUAAACAUGAAGCUUAGUGAGUCUCCCCAACUACCACAUACCAUACAAAUAUCACAUAAACAUAUCUUGGGCCCCGCCCCUGCUACAUCGAGUCAGGCUCAACAUCAGCUUUCCCAGCAUCGGGCCCCGCCCGACAUCAAACCCUAUUCGGCAUCGGUCCCCGCUCGGCAUCGAGCAGAUCUCGGAAUACAUGUGAGAAUAAUCAAAUAAUACACAUAACCCUAAGCAUAUAUCAUUCACAUUUAAACAUUUCCUCGGGCCCCGCCCGACAUCGGACUAUAAUCCGGAAACAUACUAACAUUCCUCGGGACCGCCCUGACAUCGGACCGAAGUCCAGAAACAUACAAGUACAAACACAUGCAAGAAUCACAAAGACAUCAAGCAUAUAAGCAAUCCUCAAGACCCCCCUCCCCCGACAUCGGAUCGCAAUCCGGAAAAGCAUAUAAACCUACAUCGGGCCCCGCCCAACAUCAGACCAUAGUCCGAAACUACUACUAGCUAAACGGGUCGGCCUUGGUGCCUUACACUCAUUCCUACUAGAUGAAACUCACCUCGAAUGCUAGCUGUGAAAUCUCAUGUGGGAAUCUCUGACGGCUGCUCAAACGACUCCCCGACUAUCAAUUUCACAUAAACACUUAAUCAAAAACCUGAUAACUCUUCUUAUGGUAAAAUGACCAUUUUACUCCUGGUUAAUGUCAACGUACUGGUGAAAGUCAAAGUCAAUGUCAACUCCCAGUCAACCCAACUCGUCGAGUUAUCUCCCAACUCGGCGAGUUCCUGUACUACUCAGACUCGUGGUCAAUCGAGUCAACUCGUCGAGUUGUAUCUAGCAUACAGUCGGGACAACCCGACUUUAACUCGUCGAGUCCCUUAUUGGACUCGUCGAGUUCCUCUGUCUGUUUGGGCUAUCUUAAUGGAUUAAGCCCCUACACUUCAUAUCUAAGCUUCAUACUUCACAUAAACCCUGAAAAUGUCAUUUUAAGGGUAGAGUUUCUGACUUUACCCAUUAAUACCACUUCUUAAAGGGUUUAGCUCAAACCCUAAUUCCUUGGGAUCUAGAACGUGGUCCUUAAGCCUUCCAUACACCUAACUCAAGUUGACAACCUCAGAUCUAAACCUCUAAUGCUACUUGGACACGUAAAGUCCCCACCUUUCCCACAUGCAUGGCCUUUUGGGGCUAAAAAGGCCAAUAUGACUCUCUAAUGCUUGCAUGGGGGCUCCAAUGACAUAAAGUUUGCACCAUUAUGCCAUAAAAGCCCCUCUAGGUACUAGAUCUGGAAGAAUACCCUCUUGGUUCGAUCAUUUCCCAAAAUCUAUAAAUCUUGGACCAAAAACCCACAUAAAUAAGACAUAAAUAGAUCUAUUGAACUAAUAGCCAAGAUAGAAGCUAGAUUACCAGAAAAGGUAUCAAAUGGAGUGUAGUUUCUGGAUCUACUCUUCCCUUCUUGAGCCCUCUAUCUUCUUCUUCUUCCACAAGCUUCAAAAGCACACAAAGGUCACUUAAAUGGCUCACACUCUCAAAGAAAGCUCUAGGGUUUCGUGGAUUAGAGUUUGGGACAAAGAGGCUGUAAAUGAGACCAAGGGAUGGGGGUUAAGGAGCUUAAAUAGGGUGCAAAAACCCGAUAUUAGGGUUUCAUCCUGGCCGAGCUACUCGUCGACUUGAGGGCUCCUGACUCGUCGAGUAGAAAGCUCAAACCCCAUGCAUAAUCUGCCUUCUACUCGACGAGUUAGGGCCACCAACUUGUCGAGUUCCUCUCCUAAAAUGAAUACAUAAAUGAGUUGACUGCAUACCAGGAACCAUGUGUUACAAAUACUCCUAAUACCCACUAAACAACAUAGUAACUGCACUAAAUCAUAUCCUAGGUUUUCCUAGGAUCCUCACAUCAUCCUAUCAUUAGAUGUCGAAAGACCCCCAUUAGUGUCAAUUAACUAUUUCAUGAAUACAAUCACAUGCAACAUGACUUAAAUAAUUUUAGAUUAAAAGACUCAACCUAAGGAUAUCAAUGGGACCAAACGAGGGUGGAAAUAGUUGCCCCCACCCCCGCCCCUGCCCCGGUAAAAAACUGUUGCUCCUGCCCCCGGAUACCUAGCCCCCGAUUCCGCCCUUGAAUACCUCUAUUGCCCGCCGGUCCCACCCCCGUUCCCCCGUUUAUGGGCUCAAAAUUGAUUUUUUUUUCUAAAAAAGUGCUAUAUUUUGGGUUUAAAAAAACUACCUUUCAUAAACUAAUUCACAACAAACAAAACUUAAAUCACAACAACAUUAUAUCAAACAUCAAGUUAGCAAAACUAAAAAUUAUCACAACAAUCUUUCACAUCAACUAAACUACAAUAACAAUUCAAAAUUCAAUUUACAACAAAUUCACUACAACUUAAAUCCAAUUUCAAUUCAGAUUUCAAAAAAGAAACCAGAAUCGAAAUAAGCACACUAUCAAUAGAAAUCAAUCCAGAAAUCAUAGUUUUAAUUAAAAAAAGAAACUAGAAAAUCGACAAUCAUACAAACUAGAAAACCGAGCUGGACUAGAAAUCAUGGUCUCGUUUGAACUGGAACAAAUAAGAAAUUACCAAAAACUUCACAGAAAAAAGAGUACUUAAUGUCAGAGACAAGAAGAACGGUUGACCGGCGCUGGCAGAGGAAGGUAUGUUGUUGGCAAGUAAACAACGACUGGCGGACGAUGGCAGGCGAAGUCGAGUUGUACUCUGUUGUUAUUCCAUUUGUGGUAUUUUACUCUUGUCGUUGACUCGUUCGAUUGCAAUAGAGGGGAUGUGAGUCAGCAACUCAGUGAAUGUAAUUUGUGAACUGUGAAGAGUGAUGACGAAGAUGAAGACGUGAUUGCUAGAGAGUACAGACGGGAAAUUACGAAUUUAAUAGAAAGGGGACUAGAAGGCGACAUGAAGGUUGAAGUCGUAUGCGUGAAGUGAGAUUAAGGGCGGAAAGUAGGAAACCCUAAAUUGGAUAAUCUAUUUUCUAUACAUAUUUUAUAUUAAAUAUAUAUUUUUUUAUAUCAAUAUACAAACGGGGCCCCCGCGGGAGUACGGGACGGAAAUGCCCACUAUCGACCCCGAUCUCGAAAAUAAACGGGGUUUAAUCCUGCUCCCGCUCCCAAUUUUUUUAAAUUACUCUCGUACGGUAUCGGUAUCCCACGGGAACGAGGUCCCACGGGGGUUUUUGACAUCCCUAACUCAACCCUACAACUGUCGGACUCAGACAAUAAUUGCGCAAUAUGACCAAAUUAGUUUUUUAAAGAUUAUUUAACAUUUGCAGCAUGUGACUUAACGUAUUCAUUUAGUAGUUAAUUCACACCCGAAAGAGUUCUACAAAGCACAAAGCAAGCAACAUUCGAGCAUAAAACUCCAUAGGGAAUAAGGCAUCAAAAUUAAGGCAAAUUUAACAUGCAAUUCUUGAGGAUCCCUACCCUAAAACUAGCAUGCAAUUCUAUCAUAAUCAUCAUAAGCAAAUAACAGUGUGGGUAUCUUGAGGUAAACUUUCUUGUUCCGACUGAUCGUACACAUCUCAUAAUUCCUUAGUUACUUUUGAAAAUAAUUUGAAAACUGUUACAGAUCCUUAGUUUGAGUCUGGAUUCACACGAAUGUUCAUCCAAUUCUAUCAAACCAGGGCUCUAAUACAAACUAGUAACAUCCCGAAAAUCAAGGUAAGAUUUUUCAUUUUUCAAAACCAAACCACAAACCAGAAAUGUUUACAAACUUAGUUUCCAAAAGUCAAAAUCACAAAUCAGAGUAUCCCAAAAUCAAAUCUCAUAAAACUAGAGGAUGUGCACGAUAAUGCCUUCGCCUUGCCCUGAUCAUUCGAAGUACCCGAAACAUAAAACUAAAACUGUAAGUCAAAGCUUAGUGAGUUCCCCCAAAAUACCACCACACAACAUAACAUAUACAAUCAUGCAUGUUGGGUCCAAUCAAUCGUCAGUUUGGAAUACCCUCGGGUCUACAACCAUCGGGCUAGAUUACCCCCGAUCCAAUCAGUCAUCGCACUAGAUUACCUAUCUACAAUAGGUCCAAUCAGUCAUCGGACUGGAAUAGCAUUGGGUCCAUAGCCAUCGUACUGGAUUACCCCCGAGCCCACAAUAUGAGUCUGGCUUGCAUUCCGAUCCCACAACUCAUGUCUUGAUUGCUCCCAGGUUUGUUAGCCUCCGCACAGAGCAGUUUUGCCUCAACCUAACUACAUUAUGUCGAUAUAUGCAACAUAUAAGACAUAUAACAACAAACAGAUACUCAUGCAGAUCUUAACAGAUCGCUAUAGGAUAGCAACAUCCUAAACCAGGAUACACAAUCUACUAGACCGACAUUAGUGCCAUCGACCGACAAGUAUAAUGAGGAAACUCACCUCACAGUCCGAAAGAUAACAGAAAAUAAUGCUGCUCCAACGCCAACUCUACAUGUCACCUAUACAACAAACAAUGACCUAGUCUCAAACUAGUACUUAAAAUACCCAAAAUACCCUUAGGUCAAACUUAGUCAAACCACAGGUCAAAGGUCAAAGUUAACAAGUAAAAAAGUCUAAGGAAAGUCAAUCUAGUUGAGUACGCCCUGCGUACUCAACUACUACAUUGGGCGUAGUCGCAUCUCGUCCAAAACCACGAGACUCUAACCUACUAUGCACAACUUACCUAUUGGUACACCAAACGUACUCCGUAUGAAUCCAAAACUUCAAAUUAAGAACUUAUUCCUUAAAGACCUCUCGUCCAAACUCAGAUCUAGAUCCAUAACAUCAUUCUUAGUAAUAAGGUUUCCACCUUUAUGACUUUCCAUGGAUAGACAAGGCCCAAAAGCUAAAACCCUAACCUAAUAAUCCAUUAAGACAUCAUGACUCUUACAUGGAAGGGAUAUAAGGACCAAGAUCUCAUUUUUAUAGUUCUUAAGAGCUGCAUAAUGGAUAAAGUUUCCAACUUUAUCCAUCAGGAUGGUCCAAACAACCAAGAUCCAAUCUUUAAGUCUCAAAGGGACCAAAAGUGCUGCUUUCUUCACAGCAUCAGGAUGAACAUAUGAAUCUUCCAUGAGUGACUUCAUCUUGAGCAGUUUGGGCAUUUUCUUCAAAAUCAUGGCAUUGAACGCACAUUGGGUGAGGAGGCUUGAUGAAAAGAUUCUUGAAAGAUAGCGCUUUCAGCUUGAGAAUCUUCAGAGAGAACAAAUUUUAUGGAUCACUUCAGCAGGUUUAAGAUAGCAACAGAUUGAUUGAUGAGGCUUCAAUGCAAUCCGUCACAUAAUCUUCAAUUGCAACUUCACCUUGCUUCUGGGGUUGAAACAUUGAAUGUCGAAAGAAUAAUCUUCAUUUCUUGCUCCUUCGAAUGAGAAUUUUCCGAUGAUCACGGAUGAAACAUUGGCUCAGAAAUCUUCGACACAAACUCCAUGAGUUUCAUCUUCACCUGAAUUCACUAUUCAAGACAAAACAAAACUAAAAGAAAAAUUUAGCACACAAUAUUUUUGGAUUUUUCAUAUUUUUUGAAAAAGAAAUAAAACAUAAAUAACACUAUUUUUGGAUUUUUAAUUUUCUGAUUUUUGUUUGGUUUUUAAAAUUUUUAAUUCUCCCCUAAUAUUUAAAUUAGAAGAAACUAUGAACAAAUUUAACAAAAAUAAAAUGAUAUCUAACUUUAAGAGUGAUUUGGGAUCAAAGUUUUUAGACAACCUUUAUCCGUUCAUCAGUACCUCUCCCUUCAUGAAUAGAUCUGGUCAAUCGCCAGUAUUGUGGUCCACUUAAACACGAGAGAUUGUGACAAAAUUAGGACAUACUAUAAGUGACAAGACAAUGUGAUCCUAAGUUCCUAGAUAAUAUUCCUUAAGGACCAUUCAGCCGACGACGACCAAAGAUAUUGUUGUCCACCUAAAUUGAGCAGCGAGAUCUACAGACAACCUAGUGAUUGUUCAAUUUUAAAUGUACUAGAACAUGUUUCCCGCUUCCUGACAUACCCCAAUAAUCAGGAGCUUCUAAAGUACUCCUUACUUUAGGUGAGCAGACAAUUAUUAUGAGAGAAGUCAGAUUUAGAAUGCAUAUGCUAUACACCCAGGUUGGAUAUCUUCCAAUCUCGCAGAGGGUGAAACAUAUGACUAACCAGAUUUAGAGGGAUUGAGAAGUAGAAUGGUGCAUAUGUUGUGUACCAGGUCGGAUGUAUUUCAAUAACGCAAAGGAGACAACAUAUGACUAACAAACAUGAAGAAUUGCAUAGAUAGAAGAUGCAGAGAAAUAGAAUUGCAUAUGUUAUAGUCCAGGACGGAUCUCUCGAUCACGCAAAGGAAGCAACAUAUGACUAACAGACAGAUAGAGAGAAAAAAAAAUUCUACAGGCCUAAUUUAUUGGAAUUCCCCAGUAGCCCCAUCAAUACCGGAAUUAAGGACAAAAUCCGUACAUCGAGGAAGAGUUAAUCCACGGUUCCAGAUACAGGUUCUUUUAAUGUGACCAGUAGAUUCCCAUAUUUAUCUCCCUGCUCAACCUAUCCAAGCAUCGUAUUGUCAGGCUAAACGGAUUUAACUAGGUCAAAAUUUGUCAAGUGUAUGAAUUCAUUAAGUUCAACUCUGCCUAGUCAAGUCCUUUUAGAAUCUUUCGUGCCUACCGGCGAAUCAAACACAGAGCAUAGACAAUUUAAUUUUGGGUACGUUACGCAGACUCAGAUUGCCUGUUAUCACUUGAUAAUAUCACUUCCCAGUACUAUAUCUACAAGAAAAAUUGUAAGCGACAAUAUUUUUGAUUUUUCUGAAUUUUUUAAUGUUUUUGGAUUUUUAAACUUUUCUAAUUUUUGUUUUGUUUUUAUUUCUCCCCCUAAAUUUGUGCAUAGGAGAUAAACGAAAGUAAAUGCGCAAAUUUAAACUAUCCUAAAACAAAAAUUUGUCUUUGAAGCGAAUCAGAGUAAGAUAAUCUCAUGAGUAUAGAGAAGAAAACGCAAACCGUAAUUCACCGAUUGAAUUUGCAUCCAGAAGGUCUGAGAACAACACACAUAAUCUCAGAACAGAUCCGAAAAUUCUUCAUGUCAUUAAGCACUAACCCGAUUUGUGAUUUCUUCCUUUCUUCCUUUCCCGCAAAAGGACACAUACUCUCAAACAAUGUUCUGAGUGUUGUAAAGUUGAGAGGUGUCCCCUAUCAUGUGCCUGGAAUAGCCACUACCAGCAAACCGAAGUCUGAUGAUAUGCCUCCAUAGCUGCUCCGACACAGAGCGUGAUUAGUUGGUCUUUGGAACCCAGUCCAUUUUGAAACUGGGUCGACCUUUGUCAUCUUUGCAAGAUACAUUCUCCCACGACAUGUCCUGUUUAUCACAAACAGAAGAUGUAGAUAUAUUAGAGUUAAUAGUUGAUUUGGGAGAUUGAGCUUUCGGAACCCAUUUGUAGUUAGGUUUAACUCGAAACAUCACUUUUCCCGUUUUACCCUUUGACUAAAAAAUAAGUACCAAGGGCUCAGAUUACAUAACCAAUAUUAUCAACAUCUGAUAGGGUCUAAACCAUUUUCCCUUGAAGCCUAAGGACUUUACUUGGUUUAUUUAUUAUCCACAAUCCCGAAAAUAAUGAACUUCUCGAAAGAGGAUGUUAGAUGUUUACUUGGUUUAUUUAUUGUCAACAAUCCCGGAAUAAGGAACUUCUCGAAAGAGGAUGUUAGAUGUUUGGAGUUGCCACAACUUGGUGGAAGCAUCACCACGACAUGGCGAGAAAUUUUUGGUCGCGAGUUUCAUUUAACUCGCCAUGGCGUGGCGGUCUAUGGGCCACGACGUGGCCGCCGCUGGUGACUUAAACCCUAAUUUUUUUGGAUUUGUACCAUAUUUAAAGGAAUGAGGAGGCUAGGGUUUGUUCGCCCUCAGCCUCCAUCACCCUCCUAAGCUCUGGAGAAACCCUAAUCCUUUUCUUCCAUUGUUGAAGCUCAUUUUAGUGCUUUUGGAAGAUUUUACAGGAAUAAGGAAGAAGAAGUGAGCCAAGAUUCUUCAAGCAAGAUUCCAUUUAUCAUUCAAGCACACUUUGGGGCCUCUGUAAGUGUCCAAGACUCAACCUUAAUGUUGUUAGGUUGCUAGAUCUUUAGUUUUGUCAAAUAUUCUUCUUGUUCUUGUUAGUUAGGAUGGUGAGAUCCCAUAAAGUUUGCAACUUUAUGAAUAUCUGAGACAUUUGGAGUAGUUGAUGGUUUGGAUCUAAAGUAUGGUUGGAUUUUGAACCAUACAUGAGGUUUUUGGUCAUAAUCCUCAUAUUUUUUUUUUAUCUAAUAUGAGCUCAAGACAUGCAUUAAACAUGCAUGUCUAUAAAGCACCGACUUUUAUGUUAGUUUUAGUGUUAGAAACUCUUCUGGAAUUGAUGGGCUAAGAACUUUAGAGAUUAAGUGCAUAAUGGUUAAGCCCAUGUCGUGUUUUGACUUUUUGGACCUAGGGUUUGAGAUCUUGAUCUCUUGGGGAGUCUUAAAGGAUAAAGUUGGAAACUUUAUCCAUAUAGACCAUGAGAAGAACCAUAUCUAAGCUUUGGAGCUUUUGGGAUCAGAGGAGACAACUUAACCCAUUAAGCUGUUAAGAACCCAAUGCCCACGACGUGGCCUUAGGUUGCCACAACGUGGCAACUGGGAAAUUAUCGUCUGUUUUGUCGAUUGUGGGCCAUGACAUGGUCAUGGAUGGUGACGACGUAGCAAUCGACUGAAGUCAACUUUGACCGUGGACUUUUUGACUUGAGUUAACUUUUGGUCAAACUCCUAGUUUUGGAAUGUGGGCUAAGGGUUUACCUUGUUGAAUGUAUAGGUGGUGUAUAACAUCUGUAUAUUCAGCAUUGAGAGCAGUAACAGUUGAUUGUCGCUUGGGAGGCGAGUCUUCUCACUGUACUCGUGGGUCAAAGGCACCAAUGACGACCCCGGGGGUAGCCCGUGACAUUUGUAUGAAAGACCAUAGGGAUAGCUCAUGACACUUAUGUGUAAGACCUUAGGGUAGCCAAGACAGUGCAAGGGAAGACCAUGGAGGCAGCCUAUGUCAAUGGUAUGAAAGACCAUGGGGUAGCCCAUGACACUUGUAUGCAAGACCAUGGGGGUAGCCCAUGACAAUGUAUGUGUGGUAUGUGGUAUUUUAGGAACUCAUUAAACUUUGUGUGUAACAUACUGUUCUCGAUCGUCCAUGAUUUAGGGAUCCGUGGGCUGCAAACCGGGCAUGAGGAAGUCUCAGGGCUGCGACAGUUUGAAGAUUGGGCAAGAUAAGUCCUUUAAUUGAAAAAGGUGGCAACAGAGUACGCUAGGCGUACAUGUGUGUACGCUUAGCAUACUCUUGUGCGUGACUUUUAAGCGGAGCCACCUAGUAUGUUGGGCGUACCAUAGGGUACGCUGGGGGUACUAGGCAUAUAAGGAAACCCUAAAUAAGGGGGUGCCCCUAUAAAAAGAAUGAGAUGGCCUCAUUCCUAGCCACCAUUCUCAGUCAACAAACCCUCCAAAACCCUAAACCUUCGUUCAUAGAGCUUGUGAGUGCAUUUGAGAGCCUUUGAGUGACUUUGUGUGUUCUUGGAGUGAAGAAGAACCUUUGGAGAAGAAGGAGUGAGAGUCCAGGCCCUUGGAUCUGAGCAUAUCUGUGUUGGGAGCUUCAUAUUGAGGUAUAAAGCUUCAAUCUUUCUCACUCUUUUGAUUUGUGCAUUAUAGUAGAGUAUUUUAGGGUUUUUGUCCCAAUAGUUUGAGACUUGAUGAAAUAUUGAGCUCCAAAGACUAUGAUCAACUCUUUUGAGUUCAAUUAGUGGUGUAGUGUCAUAAAAAUCAAGCCUUGGUCGUUGGAAUCAAGCCAUGCAAGAGAAAUGAGCUUGUUGAGAUGAGAGAAUGUGUUUAGUGUGUUUAUGACCAUAUCAUCCAUGCAAAGGCUCAAAGUCACUGACUUUAUGGAGUAAGAGCUAUUAAGAAGUCCAGAUUUGAGAAAUGAGCUAAGGUCUUAACGGGUUAAGACCAAGAGAAUGGGCUAAGCAAAACUGGGCGUACGCCCAGCGUAAUUCCAGUACGCCCUGCGUACUGGGUUGGUGUCCCCGAUCAGAUUCGUGCCUGCUAGAGUACGAUGAGCGUACCAAGGGAGGUACGCCCCGCGUAACCUCACUGUGAGCUUUUUGGGCUGAAUUUUAUAAUAGGCCUUGAGGGUUGGGCCUGGAUCUUUGGGCUUGUGUGUUAGAGACUUUGAGCAGAGAAAUAUUAUAUUAUGCCUUGGGCACUUGUGUUGGGCUUGUCACUUGGACUUGAGAGUUGGGCCUCAGGAGAGCCCAAUCAUUAUCGGGCCUUGGUGGGCCCAACGAGGUUUAGGUUAUUAAUGGGCUAGUUAGUGGACUACCUUUAGACCUAAAGAGUAAGGAUUUGGACAUAGAUCUUAAUGGAGUAAUUGUGGAUUUUGGUCCAGCGUUAGAGACUGGUUCAGCAACAACAUCUAUAUGAGCUGUUCAUCAUCCGAGGUGAGUCUUCUCACUAUACUUUACCUAGAGUGGUAACUUUUGUGUGACCGGAGGGUCUUAUGUGCUUAUAUUGAGUAUUGUGAUAUCCUGCAUUAUGUCUUUGUGAUUUAUGCUGUGUAUAUUUCUGAGCUUACUGAGUUACGACCGGAGGGUCUAUCUGAGUCAGGACCGGAGGGUCCGCCUGAGUUGUGGGACUGGAGGGUCCCACUGAGACACAAUGACCGGAGGGUCUUAUUGAUCUAUAGCCAUGAGAGGCUAAUGACAUAUGUGUGGUAUUUUGGGGAAUUCAAUAAGCUUCGUGUUUACCGUGUUAUGUGUUUCAGGUUCUUUUCAGGAUCGCAGGAAGGCGUCGACUUGAUUGUACACACCAGAGAAAGAGUUAUGCUUUGAGGAUCCUGGAUUGUUAAUUAAAUAAUUAUGGAGUUGUGUUUUUUGUAAAUUAAAUAAAUGGGAUUUUUGUGAAAUGUGUUAUGAGAAUUAUGUGAUUUUAAAUGAAAAUUUUGUUUGAAAAUUUACGGUAUUACAUUGUUCUUAUUGUUUUGUGGUUUAACUUUUCAGGUAUUUCUAGCUCGAAAGGUGAUGGGUUUUGGCCAUAUGAACAUUCCUAUGUGCACAUGCAAACCCUAAUGCUUGGAUCUAGGUUUCUCUAAUUAAACAUGCAUUGGAUCCAAGACUUCUAAUAGCUAAUAGAGUAUUAGAACAAUACAAAAUCAGAAUUAGAAGCAUACCUUGAAACACGUGUUUGAUCUUUUAGUUCUUGGAGCUUUAGAGUCACAAAUGUCACUCCUCUAAUGGCUUACAAACACCAACUAGCAAGAGGAUGAUUUGAGAGAGAGGAGAGGGAAGAAAUCAGCCAGGGUUUCUUUGGUUUAGCAGAGGUGCCGAUUUCCCUUGCCCCAAGGGUCUAUUUAUACUUGUAAGGCUCCUAGGGUUUACCCUUAAACCCUAGUUGGAUAAUCUUUUACUCAAAUCAAUCCAAAUCCUUUCCAAGAUAAGCCCUUGGAUGAUUUGUGGCUUAUCCUAAGCCCUAGAAAUCGUCCAACCCUAUCCAUAAAGGAUUUACAGCCCAAAGUGUAACUAUCAAACACUUGACAGUUUAUACCCUCUUAUUUAAUUAAUCUCUUUAAGUCACCAAAUUAAUUCUAAUUAAUUUAUGACUUAUAUUAAUCAAAUAACAAUAUUAUUAUUCCUUAUAUUACUCUCAUAAUAUAUUAAUAAUAUUUAUUCUCUCAUAAUAAAUCAUCCUGUCAAGUUGCUAUGGUGAAGGCAACCCAAAAGGACCAUGCACAAUCGGGUCAAAUACUUGCCUAAUAUAGUUGCAGCCUUAGACACUAUUCUAACAAAAGGAAGGGCCCGACAUGAUCACACAA
Lactuca sativa (garden lettuce) is the source of this 27569-nucleotide long non-coding RNA. RefSeq lists it as uncharacterized. NCBI's taxonomy places the organism in Eukaryota, Viridiplantae, Streptophyta, Magnoliopsida, Asterales, Asteraceae. The record is from RefSeq and is a predicted model, not a curated record.